RNAcentral lists this ribosomal RNA (487 nucleotides) under uncultured bacterium. Its description in RNAcentral is "bacterial SSU rRNA". It matches the Rfam family "Bacterial small subunit ribosomal RNA", at positions 28 to 477 of the family's 1533-position model. The record is from RNAcentral.
GAUGAACGCUGGCGGCGUGCCUAAUACAUGCAAGUCGAACGCAUUGUGGUUGAAAUGAUAUGAAGAACUUGUUCAGAUUUGAUUUUCAACAUUGCAAUGAGUGGCGAACGGGUGAGUAACACGUGGGAAACCUACCUCUUAGCAGGGGAUAACAUUUGGAAACAAAUGCUAAUACCGUAUAAUAAUUAAAACCGCAUGGUUUUAGUUUAAAAGAUGGUCUUGCUAUCACUAAGAGAUGGUCCCGCGGUGUAUUAGUUAGUUGGUGAGGUAAUGGCUCACCAAGCAAUGAUACAUAGCCGAGUUGAGGGACUGACCGGCCACAAUGGGACUGAGACACGGCCCAUACUCCUACGGGAGGCAGCAGUAGGGAAUCUUCCACAAUGGACGAAAGUCUGAUGGAGCAACGCCGCGUGUGUGAUGAAGGGUUUCGGCUCGUAAAACACUGUUGUAAGAGAAGAAUGACAUUGAGAGUAACUGUUCAAUGUGU